RNAcentral lists this ribosomal RNA (1011 nucleotides) under Micrococcus luteus. RNAcentral describes it as "bacterial SSU rRNA". It matches the Rfam family "Bacterial small subunit ribosomal RNA", at positions 219 to 1226 of the family's 1533-position model. The record is from RNAcentral. Lineage: Bacteria; Bacillati; Actinomycetota; Actinomycetes; Micrococcales; Micrococcaceae.
CUUCGAUGGACACUGCGGCCUAUCAGCUCUAGUGAGUAUGUCCACCCAUGGUAAAGUCGUUAGCCGGCCUUGAGAGCGCUGAACCCGGUCCAACACUUGGGAAUUGAGACUACCUGGUCUCGACUCCCUCACCGGGAGGCAGCAAGUGUGGUAUAUUUGCACCAAUCGCCGCCAAGCCUGAUGCAGCGACGGCGCGUGAGGGAUGACUGCCUUUCGGGUGUAAUCCUCCUUUCAGUAGGAAGAAAGCGAAGUGACCGUACCUGCAGAAGAAGCACCGGCUUACUACGUGCCAGCAGCCGCGUAAUACGUAGGGUGCGAGCGUUAUCCCGAAAUUAUUGGCGUAAAGAGCUCGUAGGCCGUUUGUCGCGUCUGUUCGUGAAAGUCCGGGGGCUCAACCCCGGAUCUGCGGUGGGUACGGGCAGACUAGAGUGCAGUAGGGGAGACUGGAAUUCCUGGUGUAGCGGUGGAAUGCGCAGAUAUCAGGAGGAACACCGAUGGCGAAGGCAGGUCUCUGGGCUGUAACUGACGCUGAGGAGCGAAAGCAUGGGGAGCGAACAGGAUUAGAUACCCUGGUAGUCCAUGCCGUAAACGUUGGGCACUAGGUGUGGGGACCAUUCCACGGUUUCCGCGCCGCAGCUAACGCAUUAAGUGCCCCGCCUGGGGAGUACGGCCGCAAGGCUAAAACUCAAAGGAAUUGACGGGGGCCCGCACAAGCGGCGGAGCAUGCGGAUUAAUUCGAUGCAACGCGAAGAACCUUACCAAGGCUUGACAUGUUCUCGAUCGCCGUAGAGAUACGGUUUCCCCUUUGGGGCGGGUUCACAGGUGGUGCAUGGUUGUCGUCAGCUCGUGUCGUGAGAUGUUGGGUUAAGUCCCGCAACGAGCGCAACCCUCGUUCCAUGUUGCCAGCACGUAAUGGUGGGGACUCAUGGGAGACUGCCGGGGUCAACUCGGAGGAAGGUGAGGACGACGUCAAAUCAUCAUGCCCCUUAUGUCGGGGCUUCACGCAUGGCU